AGUGAACGCUGGCGGCAGGCCUAAUACAUGCAAGUCGAACGGCAGCACAGUGGAGCUUGCUCCAUGGGUGGCGAGUGGCGGACGGGUGAGGAAUACAUGGGAAUCUGCCCAGUCGUGGGGGAUAACGUAUGGAAACGUACGCUAAUACCGCAUGCGCCCUUCGGGGGAAAGUCGGGGACCGCAAGGCCUGACGCGAUUGGAUGAGCCCAUGUUCGAUUAGCUAGUUGGCGGGGUAACGGCCCACCAAGGCGACGAUCGAUAGCUGGUCUGAGAGGAUGAUCAGCCACACUGGAACUGAGACACGGUCCAGACUCCUACGGGAGGCAGCAGUAGGGAAUAUUGGACAAUGGGCGCAAGCCUGAUCCAGCCAUGCCGCGUGAGUGAAGAAGGCCCUCGGGUUGUAAAGCUCUUUUGGCCGGGAAGAAUCGCACAGGUUAAUACCCUGUGUGGAUGACGGUACCGGAAUAAGAAG
Molecule: ribosomal RNA, 472 nt
Filed under: uncultured bacterium
Lineage: Bacteria
Description: bacterial SSU rRNA
Rfam family: Bacterial small subunit ribosomal RNA
Source: RNAcentral